GGAAUAUUGGGCAAUGCCCGCAAGGGUGACCCAGCAACGCCGCGUGGAGGAUGAAUGUCGUAAGAUUGUAGACUCCUGUUAGGGGGGAAGAACAAUCCCGAUCGAAUCGGGACAUGACUGUACCCCCAGAGAAAGCUCCGGCGAACUACGUGCCACCCGCCGCGGUAAUACGUAGGGGGCUAGCGUUGUCCGGAUUUACUGGGUGUAAAGGGCGCGUAGGUGGAUUUGCAAGUCAGAGGUGAAAUCUUCCCGCUCAACGGGAAAACUGCCUUUGAUACUGUAAAUCUUGAGUUCGGAAGAGAGAGACGGAAUUCCAGGUGUAGUGGUGAAAUACGUAGAUAUCUGGAAGAACACCAGUUGCGAAGGCGGUCUCUUGGUCCGAUACUGACACUCAGGCGCGAAAGCGUGGGUAGCAAAC
This 418-nucleotide ribosomal RNA is filed under the name uncultured bacterium. Its description in RNAcentral is "bacterial SSU rRNA". It matches the Rfam family "Bacterial small subunit ribosomal RNA", at positions 358 to 773 of the family's 1533-position model. The record is from RNAcentral.